UGCCAGCCGCCGCGGUAAUACGGAGGGUCCAAGCGUUGUUCGGAAUUAUUGGGCGUAAAGGGCGCGUAGGCGGGUUCUUAAGUCUGAUGUGAAAUCCCUCGGUUCAACCGAGGACGUGCAUUGGAUACUGGGAACCUUGAGUCCUGGAGAGGAAAGCGGAAUUCCUGGUGUAGCAGUGAAAUGCGUGGAUAUCAGGAGGAACAUCAAUGGCGGAGGCAACUUACUGGACAUUUACUGACGCUCAGACACGAAGGCUAGGGUAGCGAAAGGGAUUAGAUA
This 279-nucleotide ribosomal RNA is filed under the name uncultured bacterium. Its description in RNAcentral is "partial 16S ribosomal RNA". It matches the Rfam family "Bacterial small subunit ribosomal RNA", at positions 506 to 784 of the family's 1533-position model. The record is from RNAcentral.